GACCCUAUAGAGUUUUAUAUUUUAUGAAAUUUAUUUUUUUUAGAAUUUACAAGUUGAAUUUUAUUAAAUAUUUAGUUGGGGUGAUUGAAAAAUUAAAUAAACUUUUUUUAUAUUAAGUCAUUUAUUUAUGAAUAUUUGAUCCAUUAUUAGUGAUUACAAGAUUAAAUUACCUUAGGGAUAACAGCGUAAUUUUUUUUGAGAGUUCAAAUCGAAAAAAAAGAUUGCGACCUCGAUGUUGGAUUAAAAUAAAUAUUUGGUGUAAAAGCUAAAUUAAUUGGGUCUGUUCGACCUUUAAAAUUUUACAUGAUCUG
RNAcentral lists this ribosomal RNA (311 nucleotides) under Cycadophila collina. RNAcentral's name for it is "partial 16S ribosomal RNA". The stretch from base 177 to 311 matches the Rfam family "Bacterial large subunit ribosomal RNA", at positions 2473 to 2607 of the family's 2925-position model. Lineage: Eukaryota; Metazoa; Arthropoda; Insecta; Coleoptera; Erotylidae. The record is from RNAcentral.